Molecule: ribosomal RNA, 301 nt
Filed under: uncultured bacterium
Lineage: Bacteria
Description: partial 16S ribosomal RNA
Rfam family: Bacterial small subunit ribosomal RNA
Source: RNAcentral
CAGCAGCCGCGGUAAUGCGUAGGGUGCAAGCGUUAAUCGGAAUUACUGGGCGUAAAGCGUGCGCAGGCGGUCCGCUAAGACAGAUGUGAAAUCCCCGGGCUUAACCUGGGAACUGCAUUUGUGACUGGCGGGCUAGAGUAUGGCAGAGGGGGGUAGAAUUCCACGUGUAGCAGUGAAAUGCGUAGAGAUGUGGAGGAAUACCGAUGGCGAAGGCAGCCCCCUGGGCCAAUACUGACGCUCAUGCACGAAAGCUAGGGGAGCAAAUGGGAUUAGAUACCCCUGUAGUCCCUGUCUCUUAUAA